GUGUCAGCAGCCGCGGUAAAACGUAGGAGGCAAGCGUUAUCCGGAGUUACUGGGCGUAAAGCGUGCGUAGGCGGAUGGGUAAGUGCGUGGUGAAAGCGCCCGGCUAAACCGGGCGAGGACCAUGCAGACUGCUCGUCUAGAGGCGGAUAGAGGGGUGCGGAAUUCCGGGUGUAGCGGUGAAAUGUGUAGAGAUCCGGAGGAACACCAGUGGUGCAAACGGCGCCCUGGGUCCGAACUGACGCUGAGGCACGAAAGCGUGGGGAGCGAACGGGAUUAGAAACCCGAGUAGUCC
This 292-nucleotide ribosomal RNA is filed under the name uncultured bacterium. RNAcentral's name for it is "partial 16S ribosomal RNA". It matches the Rfam family "Bacterial small subunit ribosomal RNA", at positions 505 to 796 of the family's 1533-position model. The record is from RNAcentral.